UCAAACUUGGUCAUUUAGAGGAAGUAAAAGUCGUAACAAGGUAACCGUAGGUGAACCUGCGGUUGGAUCAUUAUUGAAUCAAUCUGCCUUUUUGGCUGUGUGCCUAACAAGAUAUUCUCCCAAUGGUGUCUAUCUUGUCAGGUAUUCACAAACCUUCUGUGAACUGUUGUUUGUCUCUGGCAGUUGGGCAGAGAGUAAUGCACAGCAAUUACUUCUCAGUCUGUCAGCUUGAUGCAUUAGUCAGGCCGUGGACAAGCUGCCAACUUCUUCUAUCAACAACUAUUGCCAUAUCUUCUUGUCUUAACUAACACAUCACUGUAUUAAAUGAUACGAACAACUUUUGGCAACGGAUCUCUUGGCUCUCGCAUCGAUGAAGAACGCAGC
This 384-nucleotide unclassified non-coding RNA is filed under the name uncultured fungus. RNAcentral's name for it is "partial contains small subunit ribosomal RNA, internal transcribed spacer 1, and 5.8S ribosomal RNA". The stretch from base 1 to 73 matches the Rfam family "Eukaryotic small subunit ribosomal RNA", at positions 1759 to 1831 of the family's 1831-position model. Lineage: Eukaryota; Fungi. The record is from RNAcentral.